RNAcentral lists this ribosomal RNA (491 nucleotides) under uncultured bacterium. RNAcentral describes it as "partial 16S ribosomal RNA". It matches the Rfam family "Bacterial small subunit ribosomal RNA", at positions 28 to 507 of the family's 1533-position model. The record is from RNAcentral.
GAUGAACGCUGGCUACAGGCUUAACACAUGCAAGUCGAGGGGAAACGACGGGGAAGCUUGCUUCCCCGGGCGUCGACCGGCGCACGGGUGAGUAACGCGUAUCCAACCUGCCUCUGACUGAGGGAUAACCCGUCGAAAGUCGGCCUAAUACCUCAUGGCAUCGUCUGCGGGCAUCCAACGACGAUUAAAGAUUUCAUCGGUCAGAGAUGGGGAUGCGUCUGAUUAGCUUGUUGGCGGGGUAACGGCCCACCAAGGCGACGAUCAGUAGGGGUUCUGAGAGGAAGGUCCCCCACAUUGGAACUGAGACACGGUCCAAACUCCUACGGGAGGCAGCAGUGAGGAAUAUGGGUCAAUGGGCGAGAGCCUGAACCAGCCAAGUAGCGUGCAGGAUGACGGCCCUAUGGGUUGUAAACUGCUUUUAUGCGGGGAUAAAGUGAGUGACGUGUCCUUCAUUGCAGGUACCGCAUGAAUAAGGACCGGCUAAUUCCGUG